Long non-coding RNA from Melanotaenia boesemani (Boeseman's rainbowfish), 359 nucleotides. RefSeq lists it as uncharacterized. The record is from RefSeq and is a predicted model, not a curated record. The transcript is spliced from 2 exons. NCBI's taxonomy places the organism in Eukaryota, Metazoa, Chordata, Actinopteri, Atheriniformes, Melanotaeniidae.
GACGGCGCAGCUGGAGGACAUCAGAUCAUCACCUCACCUCCAUAUAACCACCACACGGACAUCCAGUCAUCACUGGAUUAUACUACUCAUCGUGAACCUGUCCGUACCUCGCCUGCAUCCCGGAAAGUCCUGUCUGCCCGCUCCAGCCCGUCCGUUCAGCGAACCCUGCAAUCUCCUCCGCACAUUCAAUAAACUGUUCUUUAUCAUUCUCCGUAAGCUUCACUCCUUGGAUCCAUACACCACCCCCUGACAUCAUGCUUUGUCUGUUACAGACUGCUUUAAAAAGGUCAAAAUUCCCUCCAAGAUCAUAACAAUUACAUUUCUUGGAAGAAAGCUAUCUGAGAGUGUGAUGUGCAGCA